RNAcentral lists this ribosomal RNA (254 nucleotides) under uncultured bacterium. RNAcentral's name for it is "partial 16S ribosomal RNA". It matches the Rfam family "Bacterial small subunit ribosomal RNA", at positions 524 to 776 of the family's 1533-position model. The record is from RNAcentral.
UACGGGGGGAGCAAGCGUUGUUCGGAUUUACUGGGCGUAAAGGGCGCGUAGGCGGUCAGCACAAGUCAGUUGUGAAAUCUCCGAGCUUAACUCGGGACGGUCAACUGAUACUGUGCGACUAGAGUGCGGAAGGGGCAACUGGAAUUCUCGGUGUAGCGGUGAAAUGCGUAGAUAUCGAGAGGAACACCUGCGGCGAAGGCGGGUUGCUGGGCCGACACUGACGCUGAUGCGCGAAAGCCAGGGGAGCGAACGGG